RNAcentral lists this ribosomal RNA (350 nucleotides) under Parischnogaster mellyi. Its description in RNAcentral is "partial 12S ribosomal RNA". The record is from RNAcentral. Lineage: Eukaryota; Metazoa; Arthropoda; Insecta; Hymenoptera; Vespidae.
UGAAAUUAAAUUAAAUUAAUUUAAGUAUUAAAUGUUUAAAUCAUUAAAUAUAAUAAAUUUGGCGGUAUUUAAUUUAAAUUAGAGGAAUAUGUAAAGUUAAAUUGAUAAUCCACGAUAAGAUAAACUUUAAAUUAUUUUUAAUUAUUGUUGUUUAAAUUAAAUUUUAUAAGAAAUUUAUAAUAAAUAUUUUUAAAAAAAAAUAGUAAUUCAAAUCAAUGUUUAGAAUUUUAAAGACUUUAUGUAUUACAUUUAUUUUAAAUAAUAGAUUAAUAAUUUUAAUAUUAUUAUAAAAUUGGAUUUAAAAGUAAAAUUAAUUAAUUAAUUAAUUUGAAAAUUAUUUUUAAAUAUGU